CCUACGGGUGGCUGCAGUGGGGAAUAUUGCACAAUGGGCGCAAGCCUGAUGCAGCCAUGCCGCGUGUGUGAAGAAGGCCUUCGGGUUGUAAAGCACUUUCAGCGGGGAGGAAGGCGGUGAGGUUAAUAACCUCAUCGAUUGACGUUACCCGCAGAAGAAGCACCGGCUAACUCCGUGCCAGCAGCCGCGGUAAUACGGAGGGUGCAAGCGUUAAUCGGAAUUACUGGGCGUAAAGCGCACGCAGGCGGUCUGUCAAGUCGGAUGUGAAAUCCCCGGGCUCAACCUGGGAACUGCAUUCGAAACUGGCAGGCUAGAGUCGUGUAGAGGGGGGUAGAAUUCCAGGUGUAGCGGUGAAAUGCGUAGAGAUCUGGAGGAAUACCGGUGGCGAAGGCGGCCCCUGGACAAAGACUGACGCUCAGGUGCGAAAGCGUGGGGAGCAAACAGGAUUAGAUACCCUUGUAGUC
This 464-nucleotide ribosomal RNA is filed under the name uncultured Klebsiella sp. Its description in RNAcentral is "bacterial SSU rRNA". It matches the Rfam family "Bacterial small subunit ribosomal RNA", at positions 338 to 795 of the family's 1533-position model. Lineage: Bacteria; Pseudomonadati; Pseudomonadota; Gammaproteobacteria; Enterobacterales; Enterobacteriaceae. The record is from RNAcentral.